RNAcentral lists this transfer RNA (84 nucleotides) under bacterium. RNAcentral's name for it is "tRNA-Leu". It matches the Rfam family "tRNA". From Rfam's summary of the family: Transfer RNA (tRNA) molecules are approximately 80 nucleotides in length. Their secondary structure includes four short double-helical elements and three loops (D, anti-codon, and T loops). The record is from RNAcentral. RNAcentral also lists the same sequence under 1 other name.
GGGGAUGUGGUGGAAUCGGCAGACACGCAGCGUUCAGGGCGCUGUGAGCGCAAGCUCGUGGGAGUUCAACUCUCCCCAUCCCCA